Non-coding RNA from Camelina sativa (false flax), 2238 nucleotides. NCBI's taxonomy places the organism in Eukaryota, Viridiplantae, Streptophyta, Magnoliopsida, Brassicales, Brassicaceae. The record is from RefSeq and is a predicted model, not a curated record.
UUCCACAUUGUUUUCGCCACAAAAAUAUUCCAACUAAGAGCAAGUUCAACGGUGAUUUUAAAGGGAUUUUAAAGAGAUGCUUAACCUUAAAAAUAAAUCAAAAUACAUUAUAAAUGUUAAAAUCGAUCCUAAGAUAAGCAAUUUUAGGAUCAUUAAGGAUCUCAUAUGUGUUGGUCUCUGAUUGGUUGUUGGAAAUAACAAAACAAACAAAAAAACUUCGACCAAAGAUUUUCUUCUUCUUUCCUUCGUUUCUUUCGACCCAAUCCUCCUCCUCUGUGAUUUUCCUCUGAAGUCUCAAUCGUCGAAUUGAGAGAAGAGAUGUGUCGGAAAUUGGUUUUCUAAUCCGCCUAUAUCUGUUUUGAAGUGUAGAUCUUUACUAUCUUCUGAAUUGAGAGUAGAAAUUAGAAAUUUAGAGUUUACUGAUUUGGGAAUUGACUAGUAAAAUUAGGGUUCUUUCGAUUGGGUAUUUAUUUUAGCAAGAUUAGUGUCUAUGACUGUCGAUUGGGUCUUUGUUUUUUGCUGUAAAUUUGUUUGAUUAAAAUUGGGUCUUUGUCAAUUGGGUGUUUGAUUUUAGCAAGUUCAGGAUGUGAGUUUCAUCUCUUCCUCUACUUCUUCUUCGAUUACUUUGUUUUGAAAUUGAUUAAGACCCGGACAAAUAAGGGCUAAAGAAUUUGUGUAUGGGAAUAAAUAAGAAUAUGGUUUGGGCAUAUCUAUCUAAUGGUUUUUAUUUAUCUGACUCAUCAUCUCAUCGUUUCCGGGAGAAGAGAGAGGAGUAAAAUCCCCUCACUUCAAAUCAAAGUCUUGAAGCUUCUUCUUCGAAAGGGCUUCCAACUUUGCAUUUAAAGGUUACUUCAAGAGCCUUCUCGGAUGUUCCAAAGAGAAAGAUGGUUACUUGAAGUGGUUUGCUGGGAAUGUAGCCUAUGCGCUAUAUAGAGGAGUUACUGCCAACAUGCUUCUAGGAGUAGCAGGAGCAGGUGUGCUUGCAGGGUAUUGAUCAGCUUCACCGGAUUGCUUAUAAACAUUGGGUUUAGUACUUUUGAACCAAACCCCAAAAGAUAUUACAAUGAAAACUCAGCUCAAAGAAAGAAGAAAAGGUGAAUGUGUGUUUGAUAGUCCUGUUAACUAUUCUUUGUUUUUUUGUUUUUUGCUGUCUUGGAGAUAACCUCACCAAGUUAGUUUCAGACCCAUACACAAGUAAGUUUCUCUCAUACCCAUUAUGUUUUGCUGCCUUUCCAUUUCACUUUCUCAGAAUCUUGUUUAAUUCAUCUUCUUUCUCGAGUUAGGGGGAGGUAUUGGUUUGGGAUUUAAUGAGAAUUUUAAUGACUUUAAAUAAAAGUAUAAUCUUGCAAAAUGAAAGAUUCUAACAGAUUGUUUAGAAAGUUUUUUAUAAUCUUGCUGAUUUGUAUUUCCUAAUCUUGUAAAAUCUUUCAUAAAAUUUUGCAAACUUUCUAAAAAAAUAUUGGACAAUAUUCUCUUGAUUAUUCAACUCUUUUGUCAAAAAAUAGAUAAAAAAAAUAUAAAGAGAAAGAGACCAAGGAAGACAUGGUGGGAGGUUAAAAUCUCCAGAACCCUAACGCCAAAGUCAUACUCGUUGGUUUUGGCUUUUAUCAACAACAAAAAAAACAGAGUAUGAGAGAUAGAGUAAAGAACAUAAUAAUAAACGAUUCUCUCUUUAAUCAAACACGCAACUUUAUUGAUAUGAGAAACUGAAUUGUAUUACAGACUUUUGUAUUGCAGGAAAUAGAGACUCGAUCUGUAUUUUUACGAGUGAAACAUUGUGUUGUAUAAUAAGAAAAGACAUGACUCUUCAUAAGACACAACAUAUAAAUCAUGACUCUUAACGUUUCGGGGGACGUUGUGUCGCCUUUGUAGAUGCAUAAAAAAGCAGAGGCAACUGCUUUAUAUGUGAAGGAUGAAUAUGAAAAGGCCCAACACGAGUUUGCUUAUAAUCUGAAUGGAGGAAAACAUGUUCUCAUCUGCGAAGCAAGUGAUGUUGCUCGUGUUCUUCUAUGAUCAAAGCCGUUUUUUUUUGUUUUCCAAUAUGCCAAUCAAACUUGGAUUUUUUUGUAUCACUUUUGUUCUGGGGCAGCGGAGAGGAGUGUGGGAUGCGGAGAAGAAAAGCCAUCGAAGCUGAGGCCAUUGAGCAAAAGAACACCAAAAAGUCAUGGAUUAUGAUUCACAAAUCUCUCUAUUUGAUGAGAGAGUUUUCAUGACUUUUUUUAUGAAGAAAAUGAUAUA